AGUGAACGCUGGCGGUAGGCCUAACACAUGCAAGUCGAACGGCAGCACAGUAAGAGCUUGCUCUUACGGGUUGCGAGUGGCGGACGUGUGAGGAAUACAACCGAAUCUACUUUUUCGUGGGGGUUCACGUAGGGAAACUUACGCUAAUACCGCAUCCCCCCUACGGGUGAAGGCAGGGGAUCUUCGCACCGUGCGCGGUUGAAUUCGCCGAUGUCGGAUUAGCUGGUUGGCGGGGUAAAGGCCCACCAAGGCGACGAUCCGUAGCUGGUCUGAGAGGAUGGUCAGCCACACUGGAACUGAGACACGGUCCAGGCUCCUACGGGAGGCAGCAGUGGGGAAUAGUGGACAAUGGGCGCAAGUAUGAUCCAGCCAUACCGCGUGGGUGAAGGAGGCCCUCGGGGUGUAAAGCCCUUUUGUUGGGAAAGAAAAGCAGCAGGUUAAUACCCAGCUGUUCUGACGGUACCCAAAGAAUAAGCACCGGCUAACUUCGUG
RNAcentral lists this ribosomal RNA (492 nucleotides) under uncultured bacterium. Its description in RNAcentral is "partial 16S ribosomal RNA". It matches the Rfam family "Bacterial small subunit ribosomal RNA", at positions 29 to 507 of the family's 1533-position model. The record is from RNAcentral.